RNA transcript from Macaca mulatta (Rhesus monkey), 1951 nucleotides. It is a transcript of the gene named fasciculation and elongation protein zeta 1, with no coding region annotated. The record is from RefSeq and is marked provisional. NCBI's taxonomy places the organism in Eukaryota, Metazoa, Chordata, Mammalia, Primates, Cercopithecidae.
ACCCGACCCACUGCUGGGGGUGGGGUCUGGUGGGGGUGGUAAGGAGGCCCCGGGAUUCUCUGACAGGACGGUCUGGGGUCGCCACAGCGCCCCUCACCCCGUCCCAUCCUGGGAUUGGAAAGGAACAACGGGAGGCCGUCGCUCUCCUGCCCAGCCCUUCGGGGAGCGCAGCUGGGACGCAGCGCCAGGCCCGGGAGAUGUGGGAUGAUGGGCUCCUCCAGUAUCAUCUCAGCAUCGGCCCUCCAGCCAGGCCUGGGAUAAACUCAUCCUGAAAGUCGCUGUUGUUCUCCUACUGAGCAAGAAUGGAGGCCCCACUGGUGAGUCUGGAUGAAGAGUUUGAGGACCUUCGACCCUGCUGCUCGGAGGACCCGGAGGAGAAACCCCGGUGUUUCUAUGGUUCAUCUCCCCACCAUCUCGAGGACCCCUCCCUCUCUGAGCUUGAGAAUUUUUCUUCCGAAAUAAUCAGCUUCAAGUCCAUGGAGGACCUCGUGAAUGAAUUUGAUGAGAAGCUCAAUGUCUGCUUUCGGAACUACAAUGCCAAGACCGAGAACCUAGCUCCCGUGAAGAACCAGUUACAGAUCCAAGAGGAGGAGGAGACCCUUCAGGACGAGGAGGUCUGGGAUGCUCUGACAGACAAUUACAUCCCUUCACUGUCAGAAGACUGGAGGGAUCCAAACAUCGAGGCUCUGAAUGGCAACUGCUCUGACACUGAGAAUUCCAUCUCCCCACCUCCUCUCCAGAUCCAUGAGAAAGAAGAGGAAGAGUUCAAUGAGAAGAGCGAGAAUGAUUCUGGUAUCAACGAGGAGCCUCUGCUCACAGCAGAUCAGGUAAUUGAGGAGAUUGAGGAGAUGAUGCAGAACUCCCCAGACCCUGAGGAAGAAGAGGAGGUUCUGGAAGAAGAGGAUGGAGGAGAAACCUCCUCCCAGGCAGACUCGGUUCUCCUGCAGGAGAUGCAGGCGUUGACACAGACCUUCAACAACAACUGGUCCUAUGAAGGGCUGAGGCACAUGUCUGGAUCUGAGCUGACCGAGCUGCUGGACCAGGUGGAGGGUGCCAUCCGCGACUUCUCGGAGGAGCUGGUGCAGCAGCUGGCCCGCCGGGACGAGCUGGAGUUUGAGAAGGAAGUGAAGAACUCCUUUAUCACGGUGCUUAUUGAGGUUCAGAACAAGCAGAAGGAGCAGCGAGAACUGAUGAAAAAGAGGCGGAAAGAGAAAGGGCUGAGCCUGCAGAGCAGCCGGAUAGAGAAGGGAAACCAGAUGCCUCUCAAGCGCUUCAGCAUGGAAGGCAUCUCCAACAUUCUGCAGAGUGGCAUCCGCCAGACCUUUGGCUCCUCAGGAAGUGACAAACAGUAUCUGAACACAGUCAUUCCUUACGAGAAGAAAGCCUCCCCUCCGUCAGUGGAAGACCUGCAGAUGCUGACAAACAGUGAGUUCCUCUUGUUCUCAGCCAGAUCAGCGGCUCCUUUUUCUCCCUUCCUGCCUGUACGUUGUACCUCCGGUGCCGCAGCCCCGAGACUCCUCAAAUUCUCUUUGCCAUGAAGGAGGAUAAUGAGAAGGUGCCUACUUUGCUAACGGACUACAUUUUAAAAGUGCUCUGCCCGACCUAAUCUUGCCCUUUGGAGCAGCCUCGCUGCAGGAGGUCACUGAACAAGAGUCAUUCCAUCACAGGGACUGCAUGACACCACGUAACCUCCGACGUGUAUUUAAACGUGUAUAGCUUAACCCGGAUUAAACAUGAGCAAACGCGCGGGGUCCUUUGCUGUUGGCUUCUAGUGCUAGUAACCAUUGGAUGCAUGAUGGGGCAGGGCCGGUGAUGGUGCCUCCCCUUGCGGUGUCGGGAGAGGGGAAGGCAGCCGCUUUCACUGCUCAUUAUGUAGUUUGGCUCCAGCCCUCAAAAACAGCUUAUACUGUAAGACUAAUUUUGAAAUAAAACCUUCAUUUAAUUAAUAUUC